Molecule: long non-coding RNA, 213 nt
Filed under: Capsicum annuum
Lineage: Eukaryota; Viridiplantae; Streptophyta; Magnoliopsida; Solanales; Solanaceae
Description: long non-coding RNA (CANN_LNC013875)
Source: RNAcentral
UGGGAGAUGAUGAUUUUUUGGGACCGGGGAAUCUAAGGUGUGCAGAGAAUAUAGCUGCACCAGUAUACUGAAACCGUCCUUUUAGGGCGAGACCUGAUCACCAAGCUUUUCAAUUUGAGCUUAAUGAUAAGGAGGAUGGAAUUUAUGGAGCUGGUACUAUUGGAACUAUUAUUGCUCCACUGCUAGCACCAGGAGAAAUGUUCAAUACUACCA